ACAUCCAGAGAAUUUAGCAGAGAUGCUUUAGUGCCUUCGGGAACUCUGAGACAGGUGCUGCAUGGCUGUCGUCAGCUCGUGUUGUGAAAUGUUGGGUUAAGUCCCGNAACGAGCGCAACCCUUAUCCUUUGUUGCCAGCACGUAAUGGUGGGAACUCAAAGGAGACUGCCGGUGAUAAACCGGAGGAAGGUGGGGAUGACGUCAAGUCAUCAUGGCCCUUACGAGUAGGGCUACACACGUGCUACAAUGGCGCAUACAAAGAGAAGCGACCUCGCGAGAGCAAGCGGACCUCAUAAAGUGCGUCGUAGUCCGGAUUGGAGUCUGCAACUCGACUCCAUGAAGUCGGAAUCGCUAGUAAUCGUAAAUCAGAAUGUUACGGUGAAUACGUUCCCGGGCCUUGUACACACCGCCCGUCACACCAUGGGAGUGGGUUGCAAAAGAAGUAGAUAGCUUAACCUUCGGGAGGGCGUUUACCACUUUGUGAUUCAUGACUGGGGUGAAGUCGUAACAAGGUAGGCGUAGCGAG
RNAcentral lists this ribosomal RNA (526 nucleotides) under uncultured bacterium. Its description in RNAcentral is "bacterial SSU rRNA". It matches the Rfam family "Bacterial small subunit ribosomal RNA", at positions 984 to 1509 of the family's 1533-position model. The record is from RNAcentral.